Molecule: ribosomal RNA, 255 nt
Filed under: uncultured bacterium
Lineage: Bacteria
Description: partial 16S ribosomal RNA
Rfam family: Bacterial small subunit ribosomal RNA
Source: RNAcentral
CACGUAGGCACCAAGCGUUGUCCGGAUUUAUUGGGCGUAAAGAGCUCGUAGGCGGUUCGGUAAGUCGGGUGUGAAAACUUUGGGCUCAACCCAAAGCGUGCACUCGAUACUGCCAUGACUAGAGUUCGGUAGGGGAGUGGGGAAUUCCUAGUGUAGCGGUGAAAUGCGCAGAUAUUAGGAGGAACACCGGUGGCGAAGGCGCCACUCUGGGCCGAAACUGACGCUGAGGAGCGAAAGCGUGGGUAGCAAACAGGA